This 367-nucleotide ribosomal RNA is filed under the name uncultured organism. RNAcentral describes it as "bacterial SSU rRNA". It matches the Rfam family "Bacterial small subunit ribosomal RNA", at positions 526 to 896 of the family's 1533-position model. The record is from RNAcentral.
CGGAGGGUGCAAGCGUUGUCCGGAUUUAUUGGUUUAAAGGGUGCGUAGGUGGCCUUAUAAGUCAGCGGUGAAAGUCUGCAGCUUAACUGUAGAACUGCCAUUGAUACUGUAAGGCUUGAGUACUGAUGAGGUAGGCGGAAUUGAUAGUGUAGCGGUGAAAUGCAUAGAUAUUAUCAAGAACACCGAUUGCGAAGGCAGCUUACUAAGGAGUUACUGACACUGAGGCACGAAAGCGUGGGGAUCAAACAGGAUUAGAUACCCUGGUAGUCCACGCCAUAAACGAUGAUUACUCGAUGUAUGCGAUAGACUGUAUGCGUCCAAGCGAAAGCGUUAAGUAAUCCACCUGGGGAGUACGACCGCAAGGUUG